ACCUAUGCAGGCACGUGAAAAAACACAGACGGUGUUAGCAAGCAUCCUAUUAAAAACACCAAACACAGCUCCAGAUGGAGACCCAAGGGAGGCUACUGCUGCCUCACUAUUUUUUUUUUAAAGCAUCAAUACAUUUGUGAAAAUGUACAGAUUCAUUUUCAGAGCAGGUUGCAUCUUAUGGAUAAUCUAGCAUGUAUUUCUUAAAAUAUUUGGCUUAUGUCAGUUAAGGCAAAUCUGUAUAAAAAUAUGAUAAACUGUUGUGCUUGGUGUAAAAUUACCUGCAGAGGAGAACUUGAUGUCAGCCACUGCUUCAGAUUCCCCAAGUCCUUCAUCUAACGUGAUGUCUUCAGCAACAAGAGGAGGAAAUCCUGCCAUUCUUUCUUCUCCACCCACUGGUACCUUCCAUUGGGAGGAGAUAAAGUUAUUUGGAAAUUCAAAUGAAACCCCUGAUAACUCUAAUAUUAAGUAAGGCACUGAUAAGAUAAUACUGUACAGGUAUCAAAAAUAAAACCAUUAAACUAACAGGCCUGUCUGGACACACAGGUUAAUCCCUGCCUCAUUAGAAACCAAGGGUACAUGGAUAAUGGUUAACAUCAGCUCUAUGUUUACAGAUGUUUCAAUUAUUGGAAAUAAGAGGAUAAUAAUUUACCUAUUUAUUAAUGGAUUUCUCUGUGUUUAUCACUAAGAACACAAACACAGACGUUACAGUAUGGUCCCUGCUCCUGAGGAGAUCAGAAGGUGGAAAAGCAAGUAAAUAAAAGGAGCUAUGUCCCAACCCCUCCUCAUCACCACAAACACUUACACAGCAGUGACAGCGGUGCCCUGGCUCUGGAUCUUCUCCACAACCUCAUGGUGUGGUCACAGCAGACAGAGGUAAAGGAAACUCGCCUCAAGUCGCACAGCUUCACUUAAGUGGUGGAGCAGAGUAGGAUUUGAACCCAGCCUAGCUCCAGUGAUCUUAACCAUCAUACACUACAGGCUAGCCAACAGUGUGUAUGCCGGUCUGGUUAAAGAACUAUAAAUAGGGCCCCAUUCAGUUUCUAGUGAACUUGGAACAAUUUCAGUGGCACAAAAAGGGCACAGCAGGGACUGCAGAGGAUGGGAGGUGAAGAGCAGGAGUCAGCUUGAUUGUAAAGAAGAGGAAGGAGCGGGACACUUGAGUUUUGUUUUGUUUCUGAAAGAUUAGAGAAAUUUUCACACACUGCUUAACAGGUCAAAGGAAGGCUCAAGUAAGCAGGAGAGAAGACGUACGAUAGUCUCUAAGUAUCUGUGAUUAAGAACGUGGGAGGAGAGCUUUUCUACCCAGACAAGGGCUUCUAAGCUCAGCACUACUCACAUGUGGACCAGAUAAUUCCCUGUUGUGAGGGGCUGUCCUGUGCACGCAUUAUGUUUAGCAUCAUCUCUGGCCUCCACCCACUACAUGCCAGGAGCAUCACCCAGUUGUGAGAAAAUCCAACGUCUCCUCACUCACAUUAUCCAGCGCAACUUUUUGAAAUGAAGUGACCACUGGGCAGUUGAAAAGUGCCUAGUGUAAGUAAAGAACUAAAUUUUAAAGUUUAUUUAAUUUUAAUUAUUGAAAUAGCCACAUGUGGCUACCAUACUGGACAGUGUCACCCAGAGAAAACCCAACUCUGUCAGUAUCGCGGGGUCAGUCCAAUCCAACAUCCCUUUUGUUAUCAGAGCCCGUCUCACUUUAUAGCCAAAAUCCUCAAGGUGAACAAGGUCAGGGAGAGCUAGCUGAUGAUGUAACAAAGAUAGUUCUGUCCAACAAAGGCUUUUUAUCAGGGCUGUGGGACUACCAGGGUGUAUUAACCUAACUAUUCAACCAUCAAAUCACGUUGGCUCACCUUCAGUAGCGUAUGACCUGCGUGCUUCUGAUACAUAGUAUCUGCCUUGUCCAAGGAAGUAAUGUGAACAGGAAGGAAGUUGGAAGCCACAACUGUAAACCAAGCUGACUGAUUUCCCUUAAGAAAGGAAGAAAGAACUUAUCUGUACAAUGAAAACUUAGAAAACCAGCACAUUACAAGGUACAAUUUUAAAAAUCUGGGGAAUUCUCUGGCAGUCCAGUCCUGAGCGCUCUGUGCUUCCACUGCAGUGGCCUGGGUUCAAGCCCUGUUCGGGGAACCAAGGUCCUGCAUACUAUGUGGUGUGGCCAAAAAAAAAAAGAGGAAGGUAGGAAAAACAUGGCAGAAGCAAUGCAUUUACACCCAUAUAAAUAAACCUAUGAUACC
Molecule: long non-coding RNA, 2231 nt
Organism: Bubalus bubalis (water buffalo)
Lineage: Eukaryota; Metazoa; Chordata; Mammalia; Artiodactyla; Bovidae
Exons: 2
Source: RefSeq, a predicted model, not a curated record